Molecule: transfer RNA, 73 nt
Filed under: Stegodyphus mimosarum
Lineage: Eukaryota; Metazoa; Arthropoda; Arachnida; Araneae; Eresidae
Rfam family: tRNA
About the family: Transfer RNA (tRNA) molecules are approximately 80 nucleotides in length. Their secondary structure includes four short double-helical elements and three loops (D, anti-codon, and T loops). Further hydrogen bonds mediate the characteristic L-shaped molecular structure. tRNAs have two regions of fundamental functional importance: the anti-codon, which is responsible for specific mRNA codon recognition, and the 3' end, to which the tRNAs corresponding amino acid is attached (by aminoacyl-tRNA synthetases). tRNAs cope with the degeneracy of the genetic code in two manners: having more than one tRNA (with a specific anti-codon) for a particular amino acid; and 'wobble' base-pairing, i.e. permitting non-standard base-pairing at the 3rd anti-codon position.
Source: Rfam by way of RNAcentral
GCUCUCGUGAUGUAAAUGGUAGCAUGCCCAGCUAAUACUUGGAAGAUCCUUGGUUCGAAUCCUUACCAGGGCA